This 83-nucleotide transfer RNA is filed under the name Penicillium salamii. RNAcentral's name for it is "tRNA-His". It matches the Rfam family "tRNA". From Rfam's summary of the family: Transfer RNA (tRNA) molecules are approximately 80 nucleotides in length. Their secondary structure includes four short double-helical elements and three loops (D, anti-codon, and T loops). Lineage: Eukaryota; Fungi; Ascomycota; Eurotiomycetes; Eurotiales; Aspergillaceae. The record is from RNAcentral.
UGGUGGUAUGGUCUAGGGGUAGGAUACCGCAUUGUGGUGACUCAAUGCUGCGUUGGCCCCGGUUCGAAUCCGGGUACCGCCAU